AACGAACGCUGGCGGCAUGCCUAACACAUGCAAGUCGAACGAGACCUUCGGGUCUAGUGGCGCACGGGUGCGUAACGCGUGGGAACCUGCCCUUAGGUUCGGAAUAACUCCCCGAAAGGGGUGCUAAUACCGGAUAAUGUCUUCGGACCAAAGAUUUAUCGCCUUUGGAUGGGCCCGCGUUGGAUUAGCUAGUUGGUAGGGUAAAAGCCUACCAAGGCGACGAUCCAUAGCUGGUCUGAGAGGAUGAUCAGCCACACUGGGACUGAGACACGGCCCAGACUCGUAGGGGAGGCAGCAGUGGGGAAUAUUGGACAAUGGGCGAAAGCCUGAUACAGCAAUGCCGCGUGAGUGAUGAAGGCCUUAGGGUUGUAAAGCUCUUUUACCCGGGAUGAUAAUGACAGUACCGGGAGAAUAAGCUCCGGCUAACUCCGUG
RNAcentral lists this ribosomal RNA (433 nucleotides) under uncultured bacterium. RNAcentral describes it as "partial 16S ribosomal RNA". It matches the Rfam family "Bacterial small subunit ribosomal RNA", at positions 29 to 507 of the family's 1533-position model. The record is from RNAcentral.